UAAUAUUGACUAAAGCAUUCAAAUUACACAAAAUUGUAUUUUAUGUAGCCAAGUAAAGUGACUGCCAAAUGCGGUUGUUUUUUGUUUUGUUUUGUUUAUGAGGUCAGUCUCGCUAUAUUGCCCAGGCUGGUCUUGAAUUCCUGGGCUCAAGCAAUCCUCCCGUCUUGGCCUCCUGAAUAGCUGGGACUAUAGGCAUGCACCACCGUGUUCGGCUUCUUUAGUGAUAUCUUCUGAGCACACAAAGCACCAGCUAACAUUAACAUGCUCAUGAUUUUGGCAACCCCGCCUAGGGGUAAAGUGUGAUGAAGCAUUUAUAAGUUAAAUCACCUCUGUCAUAAAUUGGUCUCACAGAAUAGUCCUUUCUUUUUUUACAGUCCAUUUUUUCCCACUUAUUUCUAUUCUUAAUUUCAAAAAUAUUUAAUUUUCUAAUUAUAUGGAGGACGCAGGACAGGAGUAGAUUUUUUAGAACAAACUUGGAGCCUUGGAAGCCACACACAGAGAUAUAUCCUCCAAACUCAAAAACAAGGUGGAUUUUCAAACACUUUAAGAACCAACUGACUUACAGUAAUUGUGUUGUAUUUUUCCAUCACAGACAAGAGCAUUUUGGACUAUCUUAUUAUAAAUCCAGAGUCCAGGGAAUUCCAAUGAGAUAAUGUCAUUGACCUUGAGUACCCUUGACACUGUGUGACUGCCACCAGGGUCCACAGGUCCAUAGCUCAUUGAGUCUGAGCCACAAAGACGUUUCAUGUGAGGGCAAAAGGGACAGCAAGAGCUCCUGGAUUCAGCAGGAUUUUUCUUCCUUCACAAGACUUUAGACAAAAGGGCUAGCACUCUCAAAGGCAUUUUUCUUCUUGCUGAUUUUUCUUCUUGGACUCUAAAGAACACUCCUUUUCAACUUUUCUGGAAUGUAGACAAUCCUGGGAAAAGUAUAUGGAUUUAUUUUCCACCUUUUUUUUUUUUUUUUAAACUGGAGCUGUAAUUACAGGGCUACUAAAGAUGUGAAGUAUAUAGUUAAGGUUUUGUCAGCACUUUUAUUGUAAUACUUAGUGAGAUUAGUCAUUUUAGUUGUUCCCUUUGUAUGCCAAAAAUGGAAGACAGCUGUUUGUGCACUAAAAACUGCUUUUUAAAGGAUAGUUCUCUCUGGUUAUCAAGCAUAUUUUGCCAUCAGGGAAACAUAUUUUAAAGCUUUUGCACUGUCAAAAUGAAGUGUGUAGGAAUGAUUGCUUUAGCUGUUACUUCUAAAUAACGACAGGAAGAUCUAACAUGUGGUAAUACUGCACAAGGAUGAUACAAAGUAUCUGGCUAGAUUCACAACUAUUCCAAUUACUAUCUCUUCCUGCAAGAUGUAUUUCUGAUGGCACUCAUCAGACCCUGAAUUCAUUCCCUGAGCUUGAGAGUGCUACAGAAGUGUUUAGGGCCAGUUCUGUGGCAGCCCUCAUGGAAACAAAGAAAAGCCUAAGGGCUGGUAACCUGCAUCACGACCAGCCCAUCACCCAAGAACACAGCCAGCUUCUUUUGCAAGGUUGUACCUGUUAGUCAAUCAAAUCUAAAUCUGAGAGUUGUGACUGACUUAGACCUAUUCAUCUUCCAAAGUAUAAACCUUAAGAAUUUGUUUCCACUAGUGCAUUAAAUAUUUGCCCUCCUAUUCAACCUAUAACCUAAUAGGAAAUCUACUGCGCUGCUUUGCAGAAUGAGUUUUUUUAAUGGUCCUGACUCUUAAGGUUUUACUGUAGUUACUGAGUAAGACCUAAAAACAUAAAACAAUUAACCAACACUAAUCAAUGUACUAAAAGACGUCUGUGGCAUGGAUGGAGAGGUACAGCUCAGACCUGCUUUUAAGAGAAGAGUCACUGCCCAUCUGUCAGGGCUGUGGGGAACAGACAACCUCCAGCUGUUAGCCUCUUCAGCUUGCAAGCCAAGGUCACACUCUUCUCAAGGUCACACUCUUGCCCAGACAGUAACUGAGCAAGGCAGUAGUACAGGACCUGGCCAUUUACACCCAAUGAGUGCUCCUCUAACAGGCUCUCUGCUACAGGACUCUUCACUGGACUGGCAGGAACUUUAUCAGAUCUGCAUGCCAUUUGAUGCCCUAAGCAGUUCCCAGCUUGACUUUUCCCUUUAGCUUAGUGAUGUGGGGGCCCAAAGAUCUAUUUUCCUUUCACAUAGCAAACCUUCAUAUGUACCUCCAAACCUUAAAUAUUUUGAAAAAAAAUUUAGAGGUCUCUUCCGCAAUUCUGGGACCACAAAUGCCAGAAAACUUCCAAAUACUUCACCCUCACAAAAGUAUGAGCUUUAAGAUCUGGACUUUGCCCUAUUUCUGUUAUUGUUGUUAUAGUAUUAUUUGUACAAUACAAGAUUGUCAGCUAAACAUGUAUAUUUUGCUUAAAAUUCAGGAUGUCAGGCAAACCUCCUGACUCAAGCACUGAAAUAAACACAAAUCACCAUUAUGAAGUCAAAUCUAUAAACAAGCUUGGAAACCAAUCCAAAAUCCCUCAGAUCCACACCUAUACACUCAGUGACUCAUGUCUAUGAGCCAUGGUGACCAUGCCCAGGGUUGGGGUCAGAAGAAUCAGGGGAAGUGCAAUAGCAAGGGGACUCUUCCACAGCCUUUUUUGAGGGUUCUUCAGUCCUGGCUAACUCUGCAUUCCAUUCUGGAGGCUGAAAGUCUGAGAUCAGGAAGCCAGUAUGGUCGGUUUCUGAUGAUGCUUCUCUUCCUGGCUUGUGGGCAGCUGCCUUUAUGCUGUGUGCUCACAUGACCGAGAUCACACCACUGCACUCCAGCCUGGUGACAGAGCGAGACUCCAUCUCCAAAAAAAAAAAGGAACCAUAAGAAUACUAUCAUAAUGCUGUUACCCUUGACUGAAGAUCCAAACAGAUUGGUGAAAUGAGGCUCUAGGAAGAUUAUCUGCAGUAUAUGCAGCCAGAUCGUUCUCUAUACUUUAACAUGGGGCCUCCCUGUGCAAGGUAUCUUGUGAGGGUAGCCUGAGUAAAAUGUCUAAAUCAUUAAAAUGUCUGGUCAUUUAACAUGAAGCAAUUUAUCAACACUUUGGUCACUAACACUUAACAGUGCAGCAUAAUUAUGCUUUCAAAGCCUUCUGUAGUCCCCAGCUACUUGGAGGCAGUGGAGGGAAGAUGGCUUGAGCCCAGGAGUUCCAAGUUGUAGUGCACUAUCAUCAUGCCACUGCAUCUGCACUCCAGCCUGGGUGACAGAAUGAAACUCUGUGUACUGGGCCAGGAAAAGCGUGCUUAUUUCUUGGGCUCCCUCAAACCCCACCUCUAGUUGUCUGUCUAUGCAUUUCAUCUUCCUCGCUAGACAACAUGCUCAUUGAGGGCAAGUUUGCAUAUCUCUCCCUAUGGUUUGUAAGGCUCAGAGCUUAGCACAUACAGAUACCAGACAGGUACGUGAAGAGCAAACAUGGGCAGAAAACUGAGGUCCAAUCUACACCUACGCCAUGCCAAACACCACGUGAAGCCUUUAUCUACCUUAGUUCAUGCUACCCAUACACACUCCUAUGAGAUAGGAUUUAACAUUCCCAAAUUGCAGG
RNAcentral lists this long non-coding RNA (3545 nucleotides) under Homo sapiens (human). Its description in RNAcentral is "non-protein coding lnc-SLC38A2-1:8". Lineage: Eukaryota; Metazoa; Chordata; Mammalia; Primates; Hominidae. The record is from RNAcentral.